This 805-nucleotide ribosomal RNA is filed under the name uncultured bacterium. RNAcentral describes it as "bacterial SSU rRNA". It matches the Rfam family "Bacterial small subunit ribosomal RNA", at positions 8 to 812 of the family's 1533-position model. The record is from RNAcentral.
AGAGUUUGAUCCUGGCUCAGGAUGAACGCUGGCGGCGUGCUUAACACGUGCAAGUCGAACGAAGCACUUUAAUUGAUUUCUUCGGAAUGAAGUUUUUGUGACUGAGUGGAGGACGGGUGAGUAACGCGUGGGUAACCUGCCUCAUACAGGGGGAUAACAGUUGGAAACGACUGCUAAUACCGCAUAAGCGCACGGGAUUGCAUGAUCCAGUGUGAAAAACUCCGGUGGUAUGAGAUGGACCCGCGUCUGAUUAGCCAGUUGGCGGGGUAACGGCCCACCAAAGCGACGAUCAGUAGCCGACCUGAGAGGGUGACCGGCCACAUUGGGACUGAGACACGGCCCAAACUCCUACGGGAGGCAGCAGUGGGGAAUAUUGCACAAUGGGGGAAACCCUGAUGCAGCGACGCCGCGUGAGCGAAGAAGUAUUUCGGUAUGUAAAGCUCUAUCAGCAGGGAAGAAGAAUGACGGUACCUGACUAAGAAGCACCGGCUAAAUACGUGCCAGCAGCCGCGGUAAUACGUAUGGUGCAAGCGUUAUCCGGAUUUACUGGGUGUAAAGGGAGCGCAGGCGGUACGGCAAGUCUGAUGUGAAAGCCCGGGGCUCAACCCCGGUACUGCAUUGGAAACUGUCGGACUAGAGUGUCGGAGGGGUAAGCGGAAUUCCUAGUGUAGCGGUGAAAUGCGUAGAUAUUAGGAGGAACACCAGCGGCGAAGGCGGCUUACUGGACGAUUACUGACGCUGAGGCUCGAAAGCGUGGGGAGCAAACAGGAUUAGAUACCCUGGUAGUCCACGCCGUAAACGAUGA